GACGAACGCUGGCGGCGUGCUUAACACAUGCAAGUCGAGCGGAAAGGCCCUUCGGGGUACUCGAGCGGCGAACGGGGGAGUAACACGUGAGUAACCUGCCCUAGGCUUUGGGAUAACCCCGGGAAACCGGGGCUAAUACCGGAUAUGACCUGGUGCCGCAUGGUGUUGGGAGGAAAGUUUUUUCGGCAUGGGAUGGGCUCGCGGCCUAUCAGCUUGGUGGUGGGGGGAGGGCGUACCAAGGCGAUGACGGGUAGCCGGCCUGAGAGGGCGACCGGCCACACUGGGACUGAGACACGGCCCAGACUCCUACGGGAGGCAGCAGUGGGGAAUAUUGCACAAUGGGCGGACGCCUGAUGCAGCGACGCCGUGUGAGUGAUGAAGGCCUUCGGGUUGUAAACCUCUUUCAGCAGGGACGAAGCGUGAGUGACGGUACCUGCAGAAGAAGCGCCGGCCAACUACGUG
RNAcentral lists this ribosomal RNA (462 nucleotides) under uncultured bacterium. Its description in RNAcentral is "partial 16S ribosomal RNA". It matches the Rfam family "Bacterial small subunit ribosomal RNA", at positions 28 to 507 of the family's 1533-position model. The record is from RNAcentral.